CCAGGCCGAGCUGGGGCAUCUCUGCUCUCCUCUUUCUCUCCAGUCCUCCACUCUCCCCUCUGCGCCACCGUCAAACUUCGCCGCCGGAUCCGAGCCCGCCCGCCGCCGCCCGCCUCGGCUCUCACCCGGACCUUCCAAUCUACUCCGGCAGUACAAACUAAGCUUCAUCCCCUCGCGGGUAUCGCCCCGCGCAGCCAGCAGGACCCAGGCGAGUGCGGCACGGCAAGGCGGCGUGGCGUGCGCUCGCCGGGCUGCCGCGGUAGAGCGGCAAAGCAGGGCACGCGACCAGGCGGCACGGAAGGGGAUCACAGGCUUGCGGUUUUCUUAAACAUUCUAACUCUAUUACGAAUCCACGAGUUGCACCUUGGCAGCAUAGAAUGAUUCUGUAAUCAUGUAGUUGCCUCCAUGGCUCUUAAGGUUGCGUCUUGCAUACGGUUUUCAAGACUGCGCCUGUUGUCGAGCAGGCUAGCAUACUGCUCUCUCUCGGAUGUGCCUGCUUCUCGUGCUUCUGGGGGUACAGCGGGGUCCACUGAGUUCGAUUCUGCAAUCCGGUCGCUCAAGAACAACAAUCUCCGGCCAGAGAUACUGACCCGCGUUCUUGAUUCUACUUCAGAUUUGAACUUGGCCCUUCGGAUAUUUAAAUGGGCAUCAGGUCAGAGGAUAUUUGCUCAUACGGCUGACACAUACGCCUGCAUGAUCUCCAAGCUCGGUGUUGUUGGGAAUUGUGAUGAGAUGGACAGCCUCCUAAAGGAGAUGAUUAAAUUGAAUGCCCCUAUAUUGGAAAAAAUCUUGAACGACUUAGUUCAGUUCCUGAGCAAUAAGAACCGUUGCGAUGAAGCCUUGCUGGUGAUUCAGAAUGCUUGCUCUGGGAAGCUCAAGAUCUCAGUGUCAUCUUGCAAUGCUGUGCUGUGUGGUUUAGUCAAGGAAGGGAGGGGUUUGCGACCAUUCAUCCGUGCGUACGUGGAGAUUGUGAAGGCGGGAGUCCUUCCUGAUGUGGAUACCUUGAAUUGCUUAAUUGAGGCUUUGUGUGAAGCUGGCAAAUUAGACCUGGCGCUGAUUCAGCUUGACAGGAUGAGCAAGAAAAGGUGUACUCCUAAUAGCCACACUUUCAAGAUACUCAUAACAGCGCUUUGUUCUCACGGCAGAGCAGAUGAAUCAAUAGAAAUUUUUGAGGAGAUGAUGCAGCUGAGAUGCAUCCCCGAUAGCUGCUUUUAUGUUCAAGUGCUGCCCUUAUUUUGUAAGUUCAAUAAACCCAAGGAGGCAAGUAAGUUGUAUCAAAUGAUGAAACAAGCCAGCCUUCAGUUGGACCUACAUUCUUAUGGUGCCUUGAUUAAAUGUUUGUGUGAGAACCAACUAUUGGAUGAUGCCGUCAUGACAUUUACAGAAAUGAUAGCGUCAGGUCAUGCACCAAUGACAAAUACCUAUGUGAAUGUUGUAGAUUGCUAUUGUACAUUAUCCCAGUUCCACAAAGCUGUGAGUUUUCUUGAGGAAAAUGAUGUCGCAGAAACAGAGCCAUAUAAUGUACUGUUGAGAGUGUUAUGUGAAACAGGUACUGUGAGAGAUUUAGUGAGCUAUUUUGAGGAAUUUCGCACAAGGGGGAUGGUUGAUUGUCGCUCAUGGAACAUAGUUAUCACUCAGUUCUGCAAUGAAGGGAACAUUAGAAGAGCAUCUGAGCUUAUUGGUAGAAUGACAGUUUCUUCUUUUACAGCUGAUGAGAGUACUUAUUCUUCUGUUGUAUCUUGUUACUGUCGGUUAGGGUUGCACAGGACUGCCCUAGAUCUGUUCAGAAGGGCCAGUGUUAGUAAUCUGGUACUGAAUUCAGAAUCUUUCUCGCAGCUGGUAGAAGGUUUGUGCCACAUGGAGCGGAUCCAAGAAGCUGCUGAAGUUUUUAAAUAUCACUGCAAAAAAGGUUGCAGCCUUACCAGCGAGGCGCUUGAUAUACUAAUCCAAGGGAGCUGUAUGGCUGGAAUGAUAUGUGACGCAAUCAGAAUGCGUUCACUAGCUGUUUGCACUGGCACUUCUUGCACAUUUUCAACUUAUAACACAAUUAUCCAUGCACUACUGCGUUUGAAGAAGGAGAAGGAUCUGUCGCUUCUCCUUGCACAGAUGCUGAUGGAAGGUUGUCUAUUGGACAGCUACACAUACAAUGUUCUUGUCCGUUGUUUCCUCACCAAGGAGACAAUUCUUGAGGCUGCUCUGUUGUUCAACAAAAUGGUGAAUGAUGACUUUGUUCCUGACCAAGAGACAUUUGAACUAUUAGUCCCUGAUAUGGCCGUGUUUUCGUUACUAAGCAGGGUUUCAGAAAGUUUACUGAAAGUGGUAAGUAUAGAUGGAAUGGCAAGCCCUAGAAUUUAUAACAUUAUCAUUUAUGGCCUUAUCAAAGAAGGCUUCAAGAGUGAGGCAUGUAAGUUUUUGGAUCAAAUGCUAGACAAGGGAUGGGUACCUGAUUCAAAGACACAUCGUGUGUUAGUUGGGACAAUUGAUGGAGAGGAGGCUAGAGAAGUUGGCAAUUCCUUCCGAACAGCUGAUGAUGACACUGUAAGCAACAUACUGUUGGAGGGUCUAGAAUAGAGUCUGGAACAAAACACUAUUUCUCCAUAUCAUGUGACUACGUAUUACAGGCCAGGGAGAGACUUUUCCAGUUUUCAGGCAGUUACGAAUAUGUGUUGAGAUUAAAUGUUGGAUGCUCAAGCAACUUCAGCUCUGACACGAAGGCUGUUGAAAUUAGGAAUAUCUGCAGCUGGCGAGAUGCUCAGUGCGGGUCCUGGCGAUGACGGCCUCAUGAGCUCCGAGUUGUACCUCGCCGUGCGUGGGGGCAGAAAGGAGGAAGCCAUGGCGCUGCUUCUGCAACAAUACAGUGGCGCCCAUGCUGCUGAUGAAAUCUCUGGUAUACACCAGGUCAGCCCGGAGAGGAACAAUGUUCUUCAUUUGGCCGCGGAUCAAGGGCAUGACGAGCUGAUCCGGGAGCUCUACACCAGCUUUGGUGACAAGACCUUGCUCUCUUCCCCCAACUCGGCUCUGGACACGCCGCUGCACUGCGCGGCGAGGGCUGGGCAUGAGAUGGCCGUGUCGCUCCUCAUCCAGCUCGCUAUGGACAGCGGAGAUCAGAGCAUCUUGUGCUGCAAGAACGAGGCUGGGGACACGGCCCUGCAUCUAGCGGCAAGGCUCGGCCAUGGCGCG
Molecule: RNA transcript, 3180 nt
Organism: Triticum aestivum (bread wheat)
Lineage: Eukaryota; Viridiplantae; Streptophyta; Magnoliopsida; Poales; Poaceae
Gene name: protein ACCELERATED CELL DEATH 6
Exons: 4
Source: RefSeq, a predicted model, not a curated record